This is a long non-coding RNA of Trachymyrmex septentrionalis, 432 nucleotides long. RefSeq lists it as uncharacterized. The transcript has 3 exons. NCBI's taxonomy places the organism in Eukaryota, Metazoa, Arthropoda, Insecta, Hymenoptera, Formicidae. The record is from RefSeq and is a predicted model, not a curated record.
GGUUGGACACUCAGCUAGCGCUAGAAUCGUUCAAUAUGUAAACAAAGCUGCAUCGGAAGCUCCUUUUCGACGAAUUUUGAGAAGCCUGAGUUCGCGACAUCGCACGUUGUUAUGCUUCGUUCUACAAGUUUGAAAUUGCGAGUGUCAUGGAUGUGCAAAACACGUACCGAUGAACAGAAAAAAGAAAGAAGCCAGGAUGAUACCAAGUAAUAAACACCAAGUAAUAAACGGAACAACCCUUGGGUGUUGGUGCGAGACAGGCGAUGUUUAUAAAGCGAUGCGGAAGGUACCGUAUGCUUGAUAACGCGCUAGCGAGAAAUUGGGAAGAUAUAUUCGUGAGGUUGAUAAGUCGGCUUGUGCAAACUCACACAGGCAAACUAUAUACGAGCACGCAUCGCGUUACGAUGUCUAGAGCAAACACACACAGAGUGG